This 226-nucleotide unclassified non-coding RNA is filed under the name Hevea brasiliensis (rubber tree). Lineage: Eukaryota; Viridiplantae; Streptophyta; Magnoliopsida; Malpighiales; Euphorbiaceae. The record is from RNAcentral.
GAAACAUGAGAGACCAAACAAGAAACAUAAGAUCGGUAGCAAGUCGGACAUGGUUCUCACACAUCCCAUACUAGAGUCAAGCUCAGGAUCAGACUUUCGUCACCCGAGCUCGAUGUUCCCUGUUGGUGCCGGUCACUUCGAUUCAUCAGGCACUUCAAUCUGCGAUGAGGAUCGGUUCGGAAAUGGUUCGGGGAGCGAUAUUUGAUUUGGUAUCGUGAUGGUUUCU